Molecule: non-coding RNA, 24 nt
Filed under: Arabidopsis thaliana (thale cress)
Lineage: Eukaryota; Viridiplantae; Streptophyta; Magnoliopsida; Brassicales; Brassicaceae
Source: RNAcentral
GUAUAACUCUCAUCGCUACAUAGC